UGCUUGGACCACAUAUGGUUGAGGGUCACU
RNAcentral lists this ribosomal RNA (30 nucleotides) under Nephrotoma altissima. Its description in RNAcentral is "2S ribosomal RNA". Lineage: Eukaryota; Metazoa; Arthropoda; Insecta; Diptera; Tipulidae. The record is from RNAcentral.